GCACUUGGUUCUGUGCUUCUCUUGGGUGUUUUUUUGGGUGUUUCCCCCCUGCUGUCCUGGGUAGGGUUGUCUGUCUUUCUUACUGACUUCCUCACCUUGUGAGCUUUCAGACCGUGGUUUGCAGGCAAGACGUCUGGGUGUGCCGAGACCCUCCAGUUAUGUUUUCUAAAGGAUAACAAAGAUGCUGCUGAAACGUGAGUUUGAGCAUGCGGGAAUGGGAGGUCCAGACAGAAGAAGGUAUGAUGCCUAGAGAUAAGGCUGUUGUCCAGAACAACCACCCUGAGUCAGGUCAGACAGCUUUCUAGCACAGUAUCCCACCUCGGGCAGCAGACAGCAGUGGGAAGAAGAUGAGGAUGCGUAUACAGUGGACCUCCUUUGGUGAGGGUACCCUGAGACUGUGGCCAGUUAUGUGGCCAACAAGUUGCUGUACAAGUGUCCAGAUCCUUAUAUUUUAAUAUGCAAAGUCAUGCUGUUAUUAUAGCGCUCCUUAUACCACUGGGUGUAAAAUUAGUAUUUGAUCGUGGUGGUGUUUUGGGUGUGUUACAUCAGCUUUGCUCCCAAUCUUGCAGAAACUGUAAGGAGGUGAAGUGUCUUGCUGGGAUGGUAGAGGUAGUAUAAUACCUGGAAUUGGGAGUUUGUACCACAGCAAACUAUUCUUUGCAGGAUGCUCAUUGAUGAAGUAGUUAAAAUCAGCACUUCUGGUGGCUGUGAAUUCUGUGUUCAGGGGAAGUGGGGCUGUCUGCCUUUCACACUGCUGUGCUUUAGUCUCUCUGCAGACUUUGGAAAACAGCAUGUAUGUUUGGCUUCAGUAUGUGGCUUUCCAUCUUUUCUUUGUAAAUGAUGCAAACCAGCCCCACAGUAGGUUGGAGUGGCUGCACAGCUCUGCAGCCAAGGGCUGAUCAUGUGGCAGAUCCCGUGGGUUGGGAGUGUGGUGGGCUGCAGAGGCAGGGAUGUUUGUAAUUGCAGCAGUGACCAGGGCUAGGGCUGUAAAGCAGCAGCAGAGCUUGUGUUAGCAGUUCCCUAGCAGAGCACUUUCUGUUCACGUCCAGUUCCUCAGGAAAGGCUAAAUAGCACCAAUAACUGUAAAUGUAAGUGAUGUUUGCAGAAUACAGUGCUGAGUUGCUAGCAGAAGUAUUCUUGCAGCAGUAUUACUGAAUUUUAUGCGCUCUGUCUUUGUCCCUCUGUUUUGGUUCAGUCAUAUCAUCACACUGUGCUCAUUCAUCCAGGAACUUAAAUUAAUUCUGAAGAGGUGGCUGUGUGUAUUUGAACUACUCUGUUACAGGAAGUGUGUGUGCACACAUAUGUAUAUAUGUGAUGGAUAUGGAUAUUUGAUAAAUAAGAUUUAUGUGGCUUCAGCUAGUGCAUACUGUAGUCAGUGUGGCUUUUCUUAAGUGGUUUACAAACAGAAAGGAACAAAUACAGGUAUUUCCAUUUUUCUUCCAUAGGUAGCAGUAAAAUACAAUAUGGUGGUUAUCUGAGAACUUUGCCAGUAGCUACUGGUAAGUUUGUGAAUGAUUUGUUUGUAAAGGAACCAAUAUGUUUUGUCUGAAAGCAGUAAUGCAGUACUAAAGAAGCAGGGCACAGUGCUUGGUUUUCCUGGUAUGCAUGUUUUGUGUGGAUGGCCAUUCCUCUAACACUUGUGUUAUGAUGUGUUUUCCAGGUGACAGUGUUUAAGUGCUGGGUGGUUAUUAAAGGUAGCAUUGUAUUUUUGAUUGUGUUGCUCAGACUUAUUUUUGUGGUCACUGGGUCUGAUGUUCUGAGGAAAUGUGUUUGGACAGCCUUAAGUGUAGAAAACCUGUAUAUGGGAGUGCAGAGAACAAAGAAAAUCAAGUGAGCUUAAUACUGGCAUUGAUAUCCAAGCAAAUUCUAUCUCAUUUCUGCUGAACCCUGAUCCUGGCGGCAAAUGGUCACAUGUGUAUGGCCCUUCACUUCUGUGACCUAACCCUUAUCUGUGCCUCAUUAAUUCAAAUCAAUAAUCAGACUAUAGACCUGAAGUAUGAAUUUUUCCCCUCCCUGUUUUUCUACAAACUCUUGUUUGCUGUAAAUGUUAAAAUUUGUUACUCUCUCCAUGCUGUGAAGCAGUGAAGAGCUGCAGAUCCCACGUGUGUCAGCUGAAUGACAUGAUGCUUCUGUCGUCUUGUGUCACUGGAGAAGCCUGCUGCCCCUCAGACUCUCUUCAGUUAUCUCUGCUAUCUUUGCUCCUAGCGACCCCCUGCAUUUUUGGCACCCUUCCACCGGCUCUCCAGCCUGUGUAUCCCACAAACUAGAUGAAGAUAUUACAAUUUGUAAUAAAUAAAUAAAAAAAGGUGUUAUUUCAGUUACACUGUAGUCACCUGUUUGCCUUCUUGUUUGUUGUGUGCAGCUUUCUCGAGAGGCAGAAGGCUGCUUUUCUAGUGCCCUUUUUUAGGUAUUUUAUGAAAGUACGGGGAGGUGCUGAAGACAAGAGGCUGCAGCGCUCUGCUGGUAUGUUUUCCUUUGACGUGACUGGAUUUUAUUGGAAAGGUUAGUGUGCCCAGGUGUGUCAAAUGCUAUGUGUGGCGACCCUUGAUGCCAUCCUGCCCCAGUAGCUGAAGUGCUCCAAGCCUUCCUGUGUCUCUUUGGAUUUAAGCAGCAGUAUCUUUCCUCUGACACAAAACUUGGCCAUCUCUGUCUGUGGUUCCAGUGGUUCCCCCUUUUUUCCUGAUGUUACUUUGUCUAGAAGCAUUUGCGCAGUCUUUUAUGAUUAUUCCAGUCUGGUCACUCUAGCAGAGAUGAUAUUUUUUUUUUAAUUGUUCUCCUGCAAGUUUUCAUCAAUAUAUUCCUUAAGAAUUGUUUUUCCCAAGUGAGUUUUGUGCGGUUGUCACUUAAUUGCCAUCUUCAUGUUAAACCAGUUAACUUCUUAGUGCUUUUCAAGGAGGAAAGAUGCUGCUUGUAUAGAGACAUUUUAUCAGUCAUUCAGCUUUUUCACAAAUUGCACCUUCCUACUGGGUAGUUGUUCUUGAGUAAAGUUCAUGAAGGAUCUGGGAAAUGGUUCCCAGUCACUUGUCUGUGCUUUCUUCCAUGGUAAGUACAGUUGAAUCACAGUUCCUUGUUUAUGUAAAAGCAGCUUGCUCUCUGUGGGGAUUUUUUUGUAGUGUGGGUUUUGUUUGUUGGGUUUUUUUUGUUACAGUUCACUUGAUGCAUAGUAAUAUUUUGCUCAGAUCUGUCAAAAAUGGGAUUGUGUAAUUACUUCCACAUAUCUGACUUUGUUUUGUUGGGUUUUUUUGGUGAAUGGGAUCUCAGUGGCUGUGUCUAAAUCCUGGUUUGUCUCAUGCGUUGUCAGCCAUUUUGGCAGCUUAGGCUAAGUGAGUGCCUCUGAAUUGCUCCCGAGUUACCAGUUUGGGGCACUAGGUGUUCAGUCUCUGCAUUGUCUUCCCAAUUUGUUCAGCCUUUGCAGCUGUUAGAAUUCUUUACUUGUGCUCAUCUUCUCCCCCUUUUCUCAAAGGCAUAUAAUAUGUUCAGUAAAAAUAGCAAGACUCUCUGCAAUGUGAAGAGUUACUUGUUUUAUUGGUGUGUGUGUUUUUAAUCUUUUUUUUUUUUAAGGAUUUACUGGUUUGUGAGGCCGUCGUGUGGAUGUGUAGCUGACAAUUCUGUACAUCAGUGUGUUACUGUUAAAGCCUAUCUUCUUUCACCAUGUUCAUCACUGACUUUGUUUUUCGAUUUAAACAGCUAUGGUUUACUCUCUCAAGCCUCUCGAGACUCCUGGCAUCCUCCUGCAGGCCUGUCUGUGUGAUCUAAAAUUUCUUUCCUUGAAUCCAACUUCCUUAUGAGUCUCUCUGGAUUUUGUGUAAUACAGCACAGCGUUUUUCUGCUGCAUCUGUUCUGUGUUGUGUCAUCCUACAGUCUUGUAGUCUCUGAGAAGUUUUCUCAAGUUCCCAUAUUUCUUAUGGAGAGCUCUGCUUGAGCGGGCUUGCUUCAGACUGAAGGCAGUUUACCCUUUAGUUAUGACUGCGUUUUGUGUUGGUCUCCUUGAACUCCUUAUUUCAUUGCGAUGGCAUACUUCUGACAUCAUAUAUGUGCCCCUGGGUGCACAUCAUACAUGUGCUCUCUUUGAUGGCUUAUGCCUGAAUUAAUGAUUAUUACUUUGUAAUUCCUAAAAAUCCUUUUACAUUUGGGAGCUGUAUGAAUUGCGACUUCUGCUUGUUUUGGUAUACCUAAACUUAACCAAACAUAUGAGUGGUUCUGAGUAACUCCUGGGACCAUGAGGAUUUUUUUUCAGUCACCUCUGGGGUGAAGAUGUCUGUGAAGACUGGGGUCUUCUCAGUGUUGUCACAAUCUUUUCUUGUCCUUUCUUCUCAACUGACCCCUGCCAGUUCCUUUUGGCAUACCAGUGAGUAUAAUCAUGGGCUGCACUGUCAGCCAGUGUGAUGCUGCGCUAUAGGAUGACUUCUAACAUCAGCACAAGUCCUAGGUUCCCAUAUGUGCUGUUCCCUCUAGAUAUCCUUUAUUCCUCUGGUAUCCCUAUGUCUAUUUCCAGCCUGUUUUCACUUACACAGAGGAUCAGUGGUCUACUUACGACAGACUAAUUUUUUAGUAUGACUUGCUUUUAUGCUAUAAACGACAUGUAGUUGCUGAACCAGGAAUCUAGUUCUCUGCAGAUGCAGUCACAGGUCAUCACAGCGAGUCUGUAGGUUUUUUCUGGGAUGCAGUAUAUAUAUAUGUGUUUCUUUUUGGUAAAAACAACAUUGUGAUCUUUUCAUUAAAAAUAGCGAAGGUGGCAUUAUUUCUUCUCCAGAUCUCCAGAAUCUACUACUGUAGUAUGUACAAGAGGCCUGGUAUACCCAAGUAGGUCUUCUGCUGCAGGUGAAGAGCCCUUCCUGCCAAAGCCAAUUUCCUUUGAAAGGCACCAUGAUGCCUUCUUGGGAGGCUACUUUAUUCUUCCAGGCCUGAAGGGCAGGUCAGAUUCUUGUGGUAGUUCUUCCAGGAUGUGAAAUUAGUAAAUAGGCUUCUACAGCAAUUCCCCUACGAAACCCUGGGUUUUGGAAACUCAGUGGGUAGCUGUACUGUAAGUGUCAGGUUGUGGGUGUUACAGUAGUGGACAGCUUCUGGCAUCAAGAGUGAAUGAGCGUAAGCCAGGGAGAUUCACUAAGGCUGUAAUGUGAGAGCACUAUGUUAAUUCAGCUGUGACUGAAUCAGUACCACAAGAAGAUUAAAAGAAAGUACUUCUGGUGUAUUAAAAGGGUAACAGGAGACCUAGGAGACUCUCAAGUCAUUAGCCUGAGGUGGAGUCUGUGCAAUUUUAAUGGUAAGAGUUAAUUUGCAAUUCAGUGCAAGAAGAUUUAGCAGCUAAAUAUAUAUACUAAUGAAAAUAGAUCUGCCCUGUGGAAGGAAGGUCUUAGUGUAAAAUUUGACAGGUUUGUCAAGGUUACAGCCUGCUUGAUGAAAUCAGUGGUAAAAUUGUUUCUCCAAAGCACUUGACUUUUUACUGUAGUUUAUUGAAAGGACUUGCAUUGCUAAUGGAGAGCAUGUUAUCUGUCUGAGUUGAAAACUGGCUUAGUCAAGAGGGAAACAACUGGGGAAUUAUCUUGGGAUUGAUGCUUGUGCUCAGUUUUGUGUAAUUGUGUAUAUCAACCAUCCCAACAAUGAGGCAAUUACUGCUGGUAAAACAGGGAGGAGGGGAGGGUUGAUAAGGACUGAUGAAUAGGGCAAUUUGUGAAAUAGUGAAAAUGUCACCAGAGCACAGGUUAAAUGUAGCUGGUCAUAAGUCAGGAUAGCGGGGGAGAGUGUAGAGGUUGUAACUGUGGGGCAGGAACUGUGUGUUAAAGGGUGAAGUUCUUUUAGGUGAUCACCUCUGCAAGCUGUCAGUGUGUCCUUUCGCAUAGGACUGGCGUGAGUAUUGCCUAUCCAGGAGUAAGGCUGCAACCUGGGCUUUGCACUUUUACCUUGCUGGCAUGUGUGUCUCUCAAACCAGUAAGUGUUGGUAAAAACAGUGCAAUGCUGAGCAUCAGAAAUCUGCCUCGUCCUUAUUGAAGGCAUUUUAAACUUGCAAGCAGAAUCUCCUAAUUAUAGAGUUUAAGUGCCUUGUUAAUUUAAAGUAUGAAUAUUGAACUGAGCUAAUGGGAAGGAUGCCUGUGUUUACUUUCCAAAUCAAAGUGUUUAUUUAACCCAGAUUUGUCAGUGUUGUAACUCUUUAGUAGUAGAGUAACAAAAAAGAUUAUUAGACUGGAAAAUUAACUUUUAAAACACAAACACUUGAAAAUAUUUGAGAAGUCCCACAGCUGCCCCCUCAUUGUUCAAAACAAUCUAUCAAACCACAGAAAGAGGAUUUUAGAUGCUCACAAGAGCACCAUGAAAACCCCAGGCAUUGAAGUUGUCUUCUGAAUCUAGCAAAUUGCUGUAGCAAAACCAUCCGGUGGUGUAGGAUUGAGUAGUGUAAGUAGUUCAGUCUUUUUGGAGCUUAUUUUAAAAAUACAAAUAAAAAUCUCACCCCCAUUUAGACUGGCCAGUUUCAUGGUGGUUUUUUUUUUUUUUUUUUGGUAACUGCCUUGUCUAAAUGGAUGCUGAAUGGGUUGAAGCACAGAUAACAGGAUACAGAAUUCCUCUUUUAAAGUCUCUUAAAGCCCAGAGUUUUUCUUUCAUAUAGUGCUUGGGAAGAGAUAACGGUGUUCUUUGAUUACCUCCUUCUUGUGUUUUAGUAGGGGUGAUGUGUGAAUAGCCUCCAAAGAACCUCAGUCUCCAAAAACAACCGGUGGGUAGGCCAAAAUAUGGGCCCUGCCUUUCACUUACAGUAUGCUUCUUGUACAUCAGGCACAGGAUGAAGAAGGGUAGCUGAGAUUUCAAAUACUUUCCUGUAGUGUCUGUUCUGAACAUGAGUGGUUACACUAAAAUCAAAUUUGUACCUACUUAAAAUGUUGGUUAGUUCCUCUUGCAAAAGUGUUGAAUAAUAUGUGAAAUGAGGUUGUGUGGAGGCUUGCCUCUCUUUUUACUAAAGGUAUGCAGUAUAAAGGACUUUGCGUAGCAUAACUGAAAAAAAAAAACCUUCUUGGAAGAGUACUUUUCAGAACAGUAAAUGUAUUUACCCUGUCUAAAAAAGAAGCUGAAUUGCCUUCUCCUGGCAGUAAUACUUCCCUGGGGGUGACUUUUCUGAGAUACAAGCGUACACAAAAUAAGGGUGAUAUAACUGGAGCUUUGGAGUCAGGGCUUCCAGGUUGCAGCAUCCUUGCUUGUGGAGGAAGAUGUGUGCAUGGUGUUUAAGGAUUGAGUAGAUUUUUUUUUUUUUUUUCCAGACUUCCUUGGCAUCCCCAGGAAGGGAAGCCUGGCCCUGUUUUCUCCCACAAAGCACUCCUAUCUCACUUCUUGAUUGGUUUCAGAGCUGCUUUAGGAAGCAGGAAUAAAGCUGACAAUGCCAGUUUUAUACUGCUGAAUAUGGAUACAAUCAUUGGAAAUGCCUCAUUCUCUUGUCCUUGCAAAUCCAGAAGAAUGUAGUGAAUAGUGUUUUCUUUCAGUUUCCGAUAGCUUUGUGCUGUCUCUAGUUUUAAACUUUGUGGCAGGCUGAUUUACAGUGUUGCAAAAUGUUCUGUUUCUGUGCGGUUAACUAGAAACUCCUCACACCUGCUUUUCACCUUCCUUGAGUACCUGUUCCCUGGCUUGGCUUUUCAGAGUUUUGUAGUAUUAGCAAAAGCUCUGGUUUUAGCUGUCAUUGAUUUUUCAAGCAUUUGUCCUUUUGGAGUUUUUCUUCAACAAGAUGAUAGCUAAAGCUGAGAGCUCUGAAUAAAGCACAGAUGGAAGCAGAAUCAGAUUAAUUUUCCUGGCUGUAUGCAAAAUUAACACCCUGUUCAAGGCUUCCAAGGAGAAAUGGCUUCUGAUCUCUACGAGCAAAAGCAGAGCUGUCUCAGUUGGACAAAUACAAGAUGACCAUCUUCAUGCAUUUGAAAGGAAAAAGGGCUACAAUGCACAAAUGAGACUUUGUCAGGUGGUUUAAGAGAGAGACAGAGCCAAAGAGCCUGCCAGGAGUGGCGGUUCUCAAGCUGUUUGGCUGGUGGUGCUCUCCCAAAAAUUGUUGCGUGAAAAGAGGAAGGUUCACAAAGUUGUGCAGCUUGGAAGUGUGGACCUGGUUCAUACAUGUGUAUCCGUAGGAACAAAGUCUGAAUCUUUGGAUUCCUGUUAUUGCUGCAAGGUUUACGUAUGCAUGCGAGUUUGGUGUAAUUACAGCAUGUUAACAAGAUUUAAGCGGUGGUAGGGGAACGGGUUUGGCCGUACUGUGUGCUUUUCCAAUCAUGGUAUGCCUUCAGCAGGCAAGUGGCUUUAUGUUAAACAGCAGGAACUGUGGUGGAGUAUUAAAUGCCUAAACUGGUUCUGAUCUUGAACCUUUGCUGGUGCACCCCAGUAUUCCUGCUUGUGUCAUAGAGAGAAAUGUGCUGUACUGCUUAAAUAAAAAUCCAACCCAGCUGGU
Long non-coding RNA from Falco peregrinus (peregrine falcon), 8410 nucleotides. RefSeq lists it as uncharacterized. The transcript is spliced from 2 exons. The record is from RefSeq and is a predicted model, not a curated record. Lineage: Eukaryota; Metazoa; Chordata; Aves; Falconiformes; Falconidae.